CCAAUGAAAUUGAUCCUUCAGUACAAAAGCUGGAAUUAGCCCAUAAGACGAGAAGACCCUGUGGAGCUUCAAAACCAAAAUCACCAAACAUGCUUCAUGGGUUUUUAGUUGGGGCGACUUUGGAGCAAAAAAAACCCUCCAAACAUAAAUCUAUUUAUUAAGACUAACACACCAAAAAAAUAUUAUAGACCCAGCAGUAUCUAUUUACUGUCUGACCAAUGAACCAAGUUACCCCAGGGAUAACAGCGCCAUCCUCUUCUAGAGUCCUUAUCGACAAGAGGGUUUACGACCUCGAUGUUGGAUC
This 304-nucleotide ribosomal RNA is filed under the name Podarcis peloponnesiacus (Peloponnese wall lizard). Its description in RNAcentral is "partial large subunit ribosomal RNA". It matches the Rfam family "Bacterial large subunit ribosomal RNA", at positions 2033 to 2538 of the family's 2925-position model. The record is from RNAcentral. Lineage: Eukaryota; Metazoa; Chordata; Lepidosauria; Squamata; Lacertidae.